UAAAGACUUAGGAUAACUAAACCAAGAGCCUUCAAAGCUCCAAAUAGGAAUGAGAACCUCCUAGUUUUU
RNAcentral lists this transfer RNA (69 nucleotides) under Anolis barahonae. RNAcentral describes it as "tRNA-Trp". Lineage: Eukaryota; Metazoa; Chordata; Lepidosauria; Squamata; Anolidae. The record is from RNAcentral.